Long non-coding RNA from Oryzias melastigma (Indian medaka), 905 nucleotides. RefSeq lists it as uncharacterized. The record is from RefSeq and is a predicted model, not a curated record. NCBI's taxonomy places the organism in Eukaryota, Metazoa, Chordata, Actinopteri, Beloniformes, Adrianichthyidae. The transcript is spliced from 3 exons.
AUGGUUUGACAGUCAUGCCACAUUUAAAGUCCCUCUAUUACCUUUCUUCCCUGUUCUAAUUCUCAGUUUGAACUUCAGCAGAUCAUCUUAACCAGGUCUACAAGUAUAAGAUUUUUUAUCCUAUAAAUAUUUUGCUAAAUUGUCACUGUAAUUAUUUUAAAAAAAGUUCUAACCACUGUAGUUGUAUCUGUUUAUUAAAAGCAUCCUACUAGUCAGAGACUUUACCGUUGACCAUUGCUAGAUAGUUUGAUGUCUUGAUGUCUUGCUUUUGUGAAAUAUAUAUGCACCUCAUUUACACUUUUCUAAUCCCCAAUCAUAGGUCAUCAGUCCAACGUGAAAGACAAAUGGAGGCAUCCCGGUGAUUCGUGUCCAUGACCUCCAUAAACGUCCCUGAUCCCAGAGCAUGACGGGCAGUAAUUGCAAGCGGCGAACGGAGGAUGAAAGACGCCUCAGAUCCCGCAGGCCACUCAGAUGUACCUGCCGCCGUAACAAGCGGGAGCUGCUGCUCACAAGUACCCAGAUCCCAACUUUGACAAGGCGCCGAGGAGGGACAGCGCCACUCCUGGAAUGCCCUUUUGUUUUUUGCAUUGCAGCCCCAUUUACCGCCAGACAAUAAAUCUUCCCCAUGCAAAUUUUUAUCUCUCUUAAAUGCAUAAUGCCUCCUGAAGGUUAACAUGGAUUGUGGCGGAAUUUAGCAUUUCAGCCACAAAAAUAGUGUCCGCGCCGAGGAAAUAAGCCAUGCAGAUAAACCGGCAAUCCAGUGGGGGAUUAGUGACGAUGAGUGAUUUUAUGUUGGUUGUUACAGUUUAAUGGCUCUUCCGCUGUAAAUGCUUGAAAUAAAACCCAUUAAAGUUUUUUAGUGUACACUGUCUCUACACCGUCGCACUUCCACAAAACCAUUUGAA